UGCUUUUCGCGGCCUAACGCUUUUUUGCAAGCUGUGCAUGGUGGAACGAUAGUCAUACUGUCUUUGCUUUUUGCUUCUGGACAAGUGGGUAAACAUUUCUAAAAGCUGAACUUUAUGGAAUUACCAUAUCAUCCAAUAAUCUGGAGUGGCUCUGAAAUGAUCAAGCCUAAUUAUGUAUCCUGGCAAAUCUUGUGAUAUCCCAGAGAGGAAACAUCUGCUAAAAAUCUGGCAAAGGAAAAAUAGGCAUUUUCAGUGUGAAGUGGCCGUACUUCAGGGGAAUAACAUAUAACAUGAAGAUAGAAACUAGUAAUGCUCAUCAGCACUCCCAGCGGCAUACUAAAGCAUGGGGAGACAAUAUUGAACUGGACACCUGGGCAUGUCACAUUAAUGCCACUUAGACAUACCAAAUAUAUUUUUAGCUUUAUGUGAAUCAGUCUGUUGUGCACACUGACUGUCCAAGUGAUUUAAAACUGAGAUGCCAAACUGCAAGAUGGCAACUAAGGAAUAACAGCGAAAAGUAGAAGGUGAAAACCGUAAAUUUAAAGCCAAAUGGGAAGAAAAAUAUGCUUUAAGCAAAAAUCUAUGGGUCUUCCAACAUGUCUGAUUUGCAGUGAAAAGUUAUCCAAAGACAAAUCAAAUUUCGAAAGUCACUUUUUAACAAAGCGUGAGACAUUUGCAAAAAAAUAUUUGUUUGGAGAAGAAAGGAAAAAAGCAAUAACAAAAUUAAAGCAAAAAAUGCAACAGUCAACGUUGAUAUUCAGCAGCUGUAUACAAUCUUCAAGUAAUGUGACUGCAGCAAGUUUUACUGUUUCUGGUGAGACUGCAAAGCAUGGAAAACCUUUCACAGAUGGAGAAUAUGUAAAAAAAAAAAAAAAAAAAGUGUUUUUAAAAUUAUAAUUAAAAAAAAAAAUUAAAGAAACUCCACUAUCUGCAAACACUGUUCACGACAGCAUCAGUAAGAUAGGCAAGAAUGUGACAGAUCAUCAAAUUAAUGAUAUAAACUCGGCAUCUGUAUUGUCUUUGGCAUGUGGCAAGUCAUGCGACAUGAAAGAAAUCGCAUAAAUUAGCCUACUGGGAUGCUAUGUUUCUGAUAAAGAAUUACUGGCUUUGAUACCUCUGGACAAACUCAAGGUGAAGAUAUCUCUGCAGCGAUUUUGGAAUUUUUGACUGUUUGGGAAAUUGACAUCAAUAAACUGUUAUCUAUCGUUACAGUUACCCAGUAUGACGGGUAAAAAUAAAGGGUUUGCUACCCUCCUCAAACAAAUGCGGAGCACAAUGCUUUUACGUCUCAUUGUGUUAUUUAUCAAGAAGCAUUAAUCGCACAGACAUUUCCCUUCAAAGUUGUAAAGGUGAUGAAUUUACUACUAAAAAUAAUUAACCAAAUAAUUGCAAAAUGACUUAAUCACUGUUAGUUUUGUGCCCUUCUCAAAGAAGUAAACAGUCAGUAUUUGCACAAUAAAGUUUGUUGAUUAUCCAGAGGAGCAGUUAUGAAAAGUUUCACUUCUUGCAUUGAAUAUCUUAAACCCUUUAAGUCAAAAGGAACACGAAUAUCCAGAAUUAAGUGAUGAAGAAUGGUUACAUAAAUGUUACUUUGCUGUUCAUAUGAUGACACAUUUAAACCACCUGAAUCAGAACCUACAAGGUAGAGGUAACACUGCAAAUACACUUCUGGAAACAAUCAUUUCUUUUGAACAACAACUACUUUUGUUUUCAGAAGACUUGAUUCAUUUGCAUGAUUCAUUUACUGGUUGCUUCAGAGAUUUCAUUGAUGAGAAUACCACUCUUUUGAUUUUGACAAAACCACUUGUGACGAAUGUCAAUUGAAUACAUUUUUCGUGGUUUCCAACAGUUUGACAGGGCUCAGUUUGAACUACGACUAACAGAUUUGAAAAGCAAAGAUUUGUGGUCUUCAAAAUUUACAUCUCAACAAGUGGAAAUAAAAAACCUGGAAAGAGAAAAGGUGACUUUAGCCAUGAAUCACAAAUGGAAGUAACUUUACAACUGUCAAAAAAAUGACCAUCUGAUUUUUGAAAUGUGGAACAGCUUUCCAGACUAUUAUUGCCAACUCAAAAUAAUAGUGUUUGGAAUUUUGACAAUUUUUGGGUCCACUUAUUAUUGUGAGCAGACGUUCUCCAACAUGAAUGAUAUCAAAGGCAAACUAAGAAGACUGGCUAAUGAUAAAAGCUUAGAAUUUGUUUACAAUAACAGACUUACAACUACUCACUGAACAUGAAACAACUCGGUGUGGAAAUGCAGUGUCAAAAGUCUCAUUAAAUUGUUUUUCUUUAUUUUCUGUAUUU
Polypterus senegalus (gray bichir) is the source of this 2300-nucleotide long non-coding RNA. RefSeq lists it as uncharacterized. The record is from RefSeq and is a predicted model, not a curated record. The transcript is spliced from 5 exons. Lineage: Eukaryota; Metazoa; Chordata; Cladistia; Polypteriformes; Polypteridae.